GAUUCUGGCUCAGGAUGAACGCUAGCUACAGGCUUAACACAUGCAAGUCGAGGGGCAUCAUGGGGUUGCUUGCAAACUCUGAUGGCGACCGGCGCACGGGUGAGUAACGCGUAUCCAACCUUCCCCCUAGUAGGGCAUAGCCCGGCGAAAGUCGGAUUAAUACCCUAUGUUGUCAGUCGAGGACAUCUGAAGUUGACUAAAGAUUCAUCGCUAGGGGAUGGGGAUGCGUCCGAUUAGGUUGCAGGCGGGGUAACGGCCCACCUGGCCGACGAUCGGUAGGGGUUCUGAGAGGAAGGUCCCCCACACUGGUACUGAGACACGGACCAGACUCCUACGGGAGGCAGCAGUGAGGAAUAUUGGUCAAUGGGCGCGAGCCUGAACCAGCCAAGUAGCGUGCAAGGAUGACGGCCCUACGGGUUGUAAACUGCUUUUAUGCGGGGAUAAAGUUCAGCACGUGUGCUGUUUUGCAGGUACCGCAUGAAUAAGGACCGGCUAAUUCCGUGCCAGCCGCGGC
RNAcentral lists this ribosomal RNA (514 nucleotides) under uncultured bacterium. RNAcentral's name for it is "bacterial SSU rRNA". It matches the Rfam family "Bacterial small subunit ribosomal RNA", at positions 15 to 518 of the family's 1533-position model. The record is from RNAcentral.